Molecule: ribosomal RNA, 253 nt
Filed under: uncultured bacterium
Lineage: Bacteria
Description: partial 16S ribosomal RNA
Rfam family: Bacterial small subunit ribosomal RNA
Source: RNAcentral
UACAGAGGGGGCAAGCGUUGUUCGGAAUUACUGGGCGUAAAGGGCGCGUAGGCGGCCUGCUAAGUCGAACGUGAAAUCCCCGGGCUCAACCCGGGAACUGCGUCCGAUACUGGUUGGCUUGAAUUCGGGAGAGGGAUGCGGAAUUCCAGGUGUAGCGGUGAAAUGCGUAGAUAUCUGGGGGAACACCGGUGGCGAAGGCGGCAUCCUGGACCGAGAUUGACGCUGAGGCGCGAAAGCCAGGGGAGCAAACGGG